ACAGUACAAACUGAGCAGGCCGCGGUUUCCUUGGAAAUCGAUCGGCCGGGUUACCGAGCGUAACAGCAGGACGAAGUUCGCGUCUCUGCGGGACAGAU
Molecule: non-coding RNA, 98 nt
Submitted as: unclassified sequences
Source: Rfam